AACGAACGCUGGCGGCGCGCCUAAUACAUGCAAGUCGAGCGAGAAGACGUAGCAAUACGUUUGUAAAGCGGCGAACGGGUGAGGAAUACAUGGGUAACCUACCCGUCGAGUGGGGAAUAACUAGCCGAAAGGUUAGCUAAUACCGCGUACGCUCCUUGGACUUCGGUUUCAGGGGAGGAAAGACGAGUACCGUGGGUAUCGCGCUCUUGGAUGGGCUCAUGUCCUAUCAGCUUGUUGGGAGGUAACGGCUCACCAAGGCUUCGACGGGUAGCUGGCCUGAGAGGACGAUCAGCCACACUGGCACUGCGACACGGGCCAGACCUCCUACGGGAGGCAGCAGUAAGGAAUAUUGCGCAAGUGGGACG
Molecule: ribosomal RNA, 365 nt
Filed under: uncultured bacterium
Lineage: Bacteria
Description: bacterial SSU rRNA
Rfam family: Bacterial small subunit ribosomal RNA
Source: RNAcentral